GUGCUCGCUUCGGCAGCACAUAUACUAAAAUUGGAAUGAUACAGAGAAGAUUAGCAUGGCCCCUGCACAAGGAUGAAAUGCAAAUUCGUGGACCAUUCCAUAUUUUU
Monodon monoceros (narwhal) is the source of this 107-nucleotide small nuclear RNA. Lineage: Eukaryota; Metazoa; Chordata; Mammalia; Artiodactyla; Monodontidae. The record is from Ensembl.